This 254-nucleotide ribosomal RNA is filed under the name uncultured bacterium. RNAcentral's name for it is "partial 16S ribosomal RNA". It matches the Rfam family "Bacterial small subunit ribosomal RNA", at positions 524 to 776 of the family's 1533-position model. The record is from RNAcentral.
UACGUAGGGGGCGAGCGUUGUCCGGAUUUAUUGGGCGUAAAGAGCUCGUAGGCGGUUCGGUAAGUCAGGUGUAAAAACUCCAGGCUCAACUUGGAGAGGCCACCUGAUACUGCCGUGACUAGAGUCCGGUAGAGGAGCACGGAAUUCCUGGUGUAGCGGUGAAAUGCGCAGAUAUCAGGAAGAACACCCGUGGCGAAGGCGGCUCUCUGGGACGGUACUGACGCUGAGACGCGAAAGCGUGGGGAGCGAACAGG